UUGGGGGGUUGGGAGGUUUUGGGGGAUUUUGCGGAGAUUUGGAGUUUCCGGGAUUUGGGGAGGAUUUGGGGGAAUUCCGAGAAUUUUUGGGGGAUUCCGAGGAUUUUGGGGGGGAUCCGGGACAUUUUGGGGUGAACUCAGAAAAUUUUGAGUUCAGAUUUUCCGGAAGAAUUUGAAAAAUUCACCAAAUUUGACCAAAACCAUCCCAAAAAAACCCCCCAAAAAAUCCCAAAAAAAUCACCAAAAAAAUCACCAAAAAUCCCCAAAAAAUCACCAAAAAAUCCCCAAAAAUCCCAAAAAAAUCCCCAAAAAAUCCCCCCAAAAAUCACAAAAAAAUCCCCCCAAAAAUCACCAAAAAAUCACCAAAAAUCACCAAAAAAUCACCAAAAAAUUGCCAAAAAAUCACCAAAAAAUUGCCAAAAAAAUCACAAAAAAAUCCCAAAAAAAUCCCCAAAAUUCCCAAAAAAUCCCCAAAAAAUCCCCAGAAAAAUCCCCAAAAAAUCCCCAAAAAUCCCCAAAAAAUCCCCAAAAAAAUCCCCCCCAAAAUCACAAAAAAAUCACCAAAAAAUUGCCAAAAAAUCACCAAAAAAUUGCCAAAAAAUCACAAAAAAAUCCCCCCAAAAAAUCCCAAAAAUCCCAAAAAAUCCCCCAAAAAUCCCCAAAAAAUCACCAAAAAAUCCCCAAAAAUCCCUAAAAAAUCCCCCCAAAAAUCCCCAAAAAAUCACCAAAAAAUCACAAAAAAAUCACCAAAAAAUUGCCAAAAAAUCACAAAAAAAUUGCCAAAAAAUCACAAAAAAAAUCCCCAAAAAAUCCCCAAAAAUCCCAAAAAAAUCCCAAAAAAAUCCCAAAAAAAUCACCAAAAAAUCCCAAAAAAUCCCAAAAAAAUCCCAAAAAAAUCCCCCCAAAAAAUCACCAAAAAAUCCCUCCAAAAAUCACCAAAAAGUCACCAAAAAAUCACCAAAAAAUCCCAAAAAAAUCCCCCAAAAUCCCAAAAAAUCCCCAAAAAAACCCCAAAAAAUCCCUCCGCACCCCAAAACCCCCCAAAUUCACCCCAAAAGCCGCCCUGGCUGAACCCCAACUCUGCUACGUGCUGGACGCCGUCCUCUUCUUCAUCAUCCUCAUCCUCACCGGGCUCUACCUUCGCCUCAGGCUCUCGAUGAGAGGAGCGGCUCCGAAGGUCCGGGGGGGUUUGGGGGGAUUUGGGGGAAUUUGGGGGAUUUUGGGGGAUUUUAGGUGGAUUUGGGUGGAUUUUUUGGGAUUUUUGGGAGGAUUUGGGGGGAUUUUGGGGCGGAUUUUGGGGGAUUUGGGAGGAUUUUGGGA
This 1320-nucleotide long non-coding RNA is filed under the name Cyanistes caeruleus (blue tit). RNAcentral's name for it is "lncRNA (ENSCCEG00000005315.1)". Lineage: Eukaryota; Metazoa; Chordata; Aves; Passeriformes; Paridae. The record is from RNAcentral.